AGUUAGGUUGGCAUUUCUGCUGUUAUGCAAACUCAGCCGUCAAAUUUGACAUUUGGCAACCAGAAAAUUUUUCUUACUUUUGAGCAUAAGCAUAAGGAAGUUAGUAAAAUGUCGGCUGCAGCUAGUGCCGCUAGAAAGCAGGAUAUGCCCCCACCGGGCGGCUAUAAAAAAAUUCCAUUUCUGCGAGUUCCAGCCAAGAGUUAUUUCACAGGUUUUCAAUUGCUUGCCGGAUACGCGGUUGUUACAACCGCAGGAAUGUAUGUGUAUUAUUUGACCGCUAAGCAAAUUCUUCGUGAAGAGAUAGAGAAUCGUUCAGCGCAAUUGGUCAUAUAUCCUCUGCUCAUAGCAGAACGUGAUCGCGAAUAUUUGAAGCAACUGCGGCGUAAUCGCGACGAAGAAGCUAAACUAAUGGCAAAUGUGCCCGGUUGGAAGGUUGGUACUUGGUAUGGUGAGCCCGUCUACAAGACGCUACCUAAAGACACUCUUAUAACCCCCAUGUUUAAGGAAUUCUAUGCUCAUACCGAUUAUAAGUCCGCCGCCAAGCGAGCCCAUCUGAAAUUAUGGUCUUAAGCCUUUUUUCACUCUGAAUUUUCAACGCCAUUCAAUAAAAAUCGAAAUAGAUCUGCGAAAUAGGAAUGGAUUAGCAAAUAAAUAAAAAAUUAAAAAAAGUUAUUCAAGAAGAGAGGACGCAUUUCAAGUCUACAGAAUGUUACGUCCGUCGAACAUUGCCUCCAGAUAUAUUCAACGGUUUAAAUGACAUAUUUACAAAGUAUCAUCUAGCAAAUGAAAUAAACAAGUUACAAAUAACAUAAGGUA
Molecule: RNA transcript, 816 nt
Organism: Bactrocera oleae (olive fruit fly)
Lineage: Eukaryota; Metazoa; Arthropoda; Insecta; Diptera; Tephritidae
Gene: ND-B16.6
Gene name: NADH dehydrogenase (ubiquinone) B16.6 subunit
Source: RefSeq, a predicted model, not a curated record